Molecule: long non-coding RNA, 116 nt
Organism: Sapajus apella (tufted capuchin)
Lineage: Eukaryota; Metazoa; Chordata; Mammalia; Primates; Cebidae
Exons: 3
Source: RefSeq, a predicted model, not a curated record
AUGGCACUCAGGCAGAUCAUUAUAAAAGAGUGGAACCGUCUUUUUAAUUAUGUAAAGAGCAAAAGAAUCGGCCGGGUGUGAUGGCUCACGCCUGUAAUCCCAGCACUUUGGGAGGC